Molecule: ribosomal RNA, 253 nt
Filed under: uncultured bacterium
Lineage: Bacteria
Description: partial 16S ribosomal RNA
Rfam family: Bacterial small subunit ribosomal RNA
Source: RNAcentral
UACGAAGGGGGCUAGCGUUGCUCGGAAUCACUGGGCGUAAAGGGCGCGUAGGCGGAUCUUUAAGUCAGGGGUGAAAGCCUGAGGCUCAACCUCAGAAUUGCCUUUGAUACUGAAGAUCUCGAGACCGGAAGAGGUAAGUGGAACUGCGAGUGUAGAGGUGAAAUUCGUAGAUAUCGGGAGGAACACCAGUGGCGAAGGCGGCUCUCUGGACAGGUACUGACACUGAGACGCGAAAGCGUGGGUAGCAAACAGG